Molecule: transfer RNA, 73 nt
Filed under: uncultured archaeon
Lineage: Archaea
Description: tRNA-Gln
Rfam family: tRNA
About the family: Transfer RNA (tRNA) molecules are approximately 80 nucleotides in length. Their secondary structure includes four short double-helical elements and three loops (D, anti-codon, and T loops).
Source: RNAcentral
UGCGGGAUCAUCUAAUGGUAGGAUAGUCGCCUCUGAAGCGAUUCAUCUUGGUUCGAGUCCAAGCCCCGCAGCC